AAGAAAUGGUGCAUAUGUUAUUUACCAUGUCCUGAUUGCUCAAAUCAUGCAUCCAAUUAGAUAUCUGAUGGUAAUAAAUAGACUUCUAAGGUCAUUUGGCAUGUAAGAUGUGCUACUUGUGCAAUGCCCACUGUGCACUGGAGGCAGGGUAGUAACCUCCUUCGGAGUUUUACGGACAUGGAAAAUUUCUCCCUGCAUCCCUUUAUUUUUGAGGGCCAUAUGUCCUGUUUUAUCUUUU
This 238-nucleotide long non-coding RNA is filed under the name Citrus x clementina. RNAcentral's name for it is "Citrus clementina (C. clementina) long non-coding RNA (CCLE_LNC006491)". The record is from RNAcentral. Lineage: Eukaryota; Viridiplantae; Streptophyta; Magnoliopsida; Sapindales; Rutaceae.